CUCCGGUUGAUCCCGCCGGACCCGACUGCUAUCGGAUUGAGAUUUAGCCAUGCGAGUCGAACGUCCCCCUGUUGCGGGGGGCGUGGCGUACGGCUCAGUAACACGUAGUCAACCUGCCCUGGAGACAAGGACAACCCCGGGAAACUGGGAUUAAUCCUUGAUAGGUCAUCUCAUCUGGAAGGAGAGAUGGCUUAAAGGGGUACGCGGGCUUCUUCCGCGAAUUCGCUCCAGGAUGGGACUGCGUCCGAUCAGGCUGUUGGCGGGGUAAUGGCCCACCAAACCUGUAACCGGUACGGGCCUUGAGAGAGGUGGCCCGGAGAUGGACACUGAGAGAAGGGUCCAGGUCCUACGGGGCGCAGCAGGCGCGAAACCUUCGCAAUGCGCGAAAGCGUGACGAGGUUAAUCCGAGUGACUCCCGCUGAGGGGGUCUUUUGUCAGCUGUAAAUAGGCAGGCGAAUAAGGGGAGGGCAAGCCUGGUGUCAGCCGCCGCGGUAAUACCAGCUCCUCGAGUGGUCGGGGCGAUUAUUGGGCCUAAAGCAUCCGUAGCCGGUUCCGUAGGUCCUCUGUUAAAUCCAACCGCUUAACGGUUGACCUGCAGAGGAUACCGCGGGACUAGGAGGCGGGAGAGGCGGACGGUACUCCGCGUGUAGGGGUAAAAUCCUUUGAUCCGCGGAAGACCACCAGUGGCGAAGGCGGUCCGCCAGAACGCGCUCGACGGUGAGGGAUGAAAGCUGGGGGAGCGAACCGGAUUAGAUACCCGGGUAGUCCCAGCCGUAAACGAUGCUAGCUAGAUGAUUCAUUCGCAAGUCGCGAAUGAAGUGUCGCAGGGAAGCCGUUAAGCUAGCCGCCUGGGGAGUACGGUCGCAAGACUGAAACUUAAAGGGAUUGGCGGGGGAGCA
This 899-nucleotide ribosomal RNA is filed under the name uncultured archaeon. Its description in RNAcentral is "bacterial SSU rRNA". It matches the Rfam family "Archaeal small subunit ribosomal RNA", at positions 1 to 878 of the family's 1478-position model. The record is from RNAcentral.